UCGAGAAUCUUCGGCAAUGGACGAAAGUCUGACCGAGCGACGCCGCGUGCGGGAUGAAGGCCCUCGGGUUGUAAACCGCUGUCAGUUAGGAGGAAAUCUAUGAGGGCACUCUCUCAUAGUUGACCGAUUUUCAGAGGAAGGACGGGCUAAGUUCGUGCCAGCAGCCGCGGUAAGACGAACCGUCCAAACGUUAUUCGGUAUCACUGGGCUUAAAGCGUGCGUAGGCGGCUUGGUAGGUGAGAUGUGAAAGCCCACGGCCCAACCGUGGAAUUGCGUUUCAAACCAUCAAGCUCGAGGAAGAUAGGGGUGAUGGGAACUUAUGGUGGAGCGGUGAAAUGCGUUGAUAUCAUAGGGAACACCGGUGGCGAAAGCGCAUCACUGGAUCUUUUCUGACGCUGAGGCACGAAAGCUAGGGUAGCGAACGGG
RNAcentral lists this ribosomal RNA (426 nucleotides) under uncultured bacterium. RNAcentral describes it as "bacterial SSU rRNA". It matches the Rfam family "Bacterial small subunit ribosomal RNA", at positions 355 to 776 of the family's 1533-position model. The record is from RNAcentral.